AGAGCCGUGCCUGAAUAAAGGGCCACUUUGAUAGAGUGAAUCAUGGGGGUUAAUAUCCCUCCGACUCCU
Molecule: transfer RNA, 69 nt
Filed under: Anatolichthys anatoliae anatoliae
Lineage: Eukaryota; Metazoa; Chordata; Actinopteri; Cyprinodontiformes; Aphaniidae
Description: Aphanius anatoliae anatoliae tRNA-Ile
Rfam family: tRNA
About the family: Transfer RNA (tRNA) molecules are approximately 80 nucleotides in length. Their secondary structure includes four short double-helical elements and three loops (D, anti-codon, and T loops).
Source: RNAcentral